AAAUAUGUGAAAACAAUAGAAAUACUCACGUUUUUAUAACUCGUAUCGGUGUAAUAGAACAAGGUUAUUACCAAACUGGCCAGCGAUAUUGAAGUGGCUCCAUUGAAGACAUAUUUAUGAAAGACCUGCCCCUUAUAGACCGCCGUAAAUGUCCAAUAACAAUUACAGACAAUAUCGAAAAACGAGGUCAUAAACAAAUACAAUAUCGACCAGCCAAAGGCAUCGUUUAAGGAUUUGAACAAUUCCCAAAUGCGCAAAUAAAUCAAACGUCUGGCAUUCAAUUGGGCAUACUCUUCAUCCUUAUAGGGCUGCCACAAUCCCACUGCAUUCGAUGGCGUUUUGUCUGUCGUCGAUAAUUUUAGCGCACCCUUAAACUAACACUGGUGGGGAAAGCCUGCCAGAACACUGGCUGUAUGGAGGAGAUGGCAUUGAUCCAGAGCUUAAAGCCGAUGCAAAUCAAUUCUAUGCAAAAUAUUGCCAGAAUUUCUUUGGACAUUUUAUGCCGCAGUUUUUCCAAUUCCUCAAUCCUUUUAUGAAAAUGUCUUUUAAAUAUAUAGAAGAUCUCAUCUUCAA
Long non-coding RNA from Musca domestica (house fly), 573 nucleotides. RefSeq lists it as uncharacterized. NCBI's taxonomy places the organism in Eukaryota, Metazoa, Arthropoda, Insecta, Diptera, Muscidae. The record is from RefSeq and is a predicted model, not a curated record. The transcript has 2 exons.